CUGAGUACUACACUCUCUACCCUUUGUGAACUAUUAUACCUGUUGCUUCGGCGGCGCCCGCAAGGGUGCCCGCCGGUCUCAUCAGAAUCUCUGUUUUCGAACCCGACGAUACUUCUGAGUGUUCUUAGCGAACUGUCAAAACUUUUAACAACGGAUCUCUUGGCUCCAGCAUCGAUGAAGAACGCAGCGAAACGCGAUAUGUAAUGUGAAUUGCAGAAUUCAGUGAAUCAUCGAAUCUUUGAACGCACAUGGCGCCUUCCAGUAUCCUGGGAGGCAUGCCUGUCCGAGCGUCGUUUCAACCCUCGAGCCCCUGUGGCCCGGCGUUGGGGAUCUGCCACGGCAGGCCCCUAAAACCAGUGGCGGACCCGAAGGGCCCUCUCCUUUGCGCAGUAGCAUUCGCCUCGCAUUGGGAGUCCUCGGCGUCCUGCCUCUAAACCCCCCACAAGUCCGCUUCGGCGGCAC
Molecule: unclassified non-coding RNA, 462 nt
Filed under: Plectosphaerella sp. Jul1b
Lineage: Eukaryota; Fungi; Ascomycota; Sordariomycetes; Glomerellales; Plectosphaerellaceae
Also listed under: 1 other name
Description: partial contains ITS1, 5.8S rRNA and ITS2
Rfam family: 5.8S ribosomal RNA (bases 140-293)
Source: RNAcentral